CCAUGCCGCGUGCAGGAAGACGGCCUAUGGGUUGUAACUGCUUUUAUACGGGAAGAAUAAGGGACACGUGUGUCCUGGUGACGGUACCGUAAGAAUAAGGACCGGCUAACUCCGUGCCAGCAGCCGCGGUAAUACGGAGGGUCCGAGCGUUAUCCGGAAUUAUUGGGUUUAAAGGGUCCGCAGGCGGGCGAUUAAGUCAGGGGUGAAAUGGUGCGGCUCAACCGUAGCACUGCCCUUGAUACUGGUUGUCUUGAGUCAUAGUGAAGUGGCCGGAAUAUGUAGUGUAGCGGUGAAAUGCAUAGAUAUUACAUAGAACACCGAUUGCGAAGGCAGGUCACUAACUAUCGACUGACGCUGAUGGACGAAAGCGCGGGGAGCGACGGGAUUAGAUACCCCGGUAGUCCACGCCGUAACGAUGGAU
RNAcentral lists this ribosomal RNA (421 nucleotides) under uncultured bacterium. RNAcentral describes it as "bacterial SSU rRNA". It matches the Rfam family "Bacterial small subunit ribosomal RNA", at positions 392 to 814 of the family's 1533-position model. The record is from RNAcentral.